AGUAUCCGAUGGCUUCGUUUGUCUGAGCGUCGUUUUAAAUGCAAAAUCCAACAUAAAGAUAGAUCUGUUUCGUCACACUUCGAUGAAAAGGUGUCGUCAGAUUAAAUCGAAAGUCAGAAUUUAUUCUUUUUGAAUGAAUUUGCUGUUAGUAGUAGCUCUAUGAGAAAAUGUUUCAAGUCUCGAGUGGCUUUGAAAGCACAUCGAUGGUGCGACAUUCUCCUAGGGUCUCUAGCAUUACACGCUAAAGAAUCCGAGUGCCAGUGAUGUGUGCCUGUUGAGAUUGAGAAAAAUCAAACAUGAAUAUCAAUGAGUGAUUCUACAAGCAAUGAAAUGUCAUUUCUCGACCUCAGAUCAAGCGAGAAUACCCGCUGAAUUUAAGCAUAUAAAUAAGCGGAGGAAAAGAAACCAAACGGGAUU
Molecule: ribosomal RNA, 417 nt
Filed under: Sarcoptes scabiei
Lineage: Eukaryota; Metazoa; Arthropoda; Arachnida; Sarcoptiformes; Sarcoptidae
Description: eukaryotic LSU rRNA
Rfam family: Eukaryotic large subunit ribosomal RNA (bases 342-417)
Source: RNAcentral